RNAcentral lists this ribosomal RNA (253 nucleotides) under uncultured bacterium. RNAcentral describes it as "partial 16S ribosomal RNA". It matches the Rfam family "Bacterial small subunit ribosomal RNA", at positions 524 to 776 of the family's 1533-position model. The record is from RNAcentral.
UACGUAGGAUGCAAGCGUUGUCCGGAAUUAUUGGGCGUAAAGAGCGCGCAGGCGGUCUAUCAAGUCAGAUGUGAAAUAUCCGGGCUUAACCCGGAGGGGUCAUUUGAAACUGGUAGACUAGAGUACAGCAGAGGAUAGCGGAAUUCCUGGUGUAGCGGUGAAAUGCGCAGAUAUCAGGAGGAACACCGGUGGCGAAGGCGGAUCUCUGGGCCUUACCUGACGCUGAGGCGCGAAAGCUAGGGGAGCAAACAGG